RNAcentral lists this long non-coding RNA (1753 nucleotides) under Anser brachyrhynchus (Pink-footed goose). RNAcentral's name for it is "lncRNA (ENSABRG00000018995.1)". The record is from RNAcentral. Lineage: Eukaryota; Metazoa; Chordata; Aves; Anseriformes; Anatidae.
CCAGCAGCUUGAUGGUCCAGUGUAUAACUUGGAACACAAUUGAGCUGACUCUGAUGGGCUUCACCAUCCCAGAACAUACAAUCCGUGACUAAAUGGAGGGCAUCACCUGUGCUCUAAAGGCCAGACUGGCACCUGCUAACAAGGUCUGCAAGGUAAAACAUUGUCCCCCUCCAGAAUCCAGACUUUGAUCUCAUCUUUUAGCAGCAUCUUAGACCAGUGUGUUUAUGUGGGUGUUCAGGCCUCCAAAGCCUUCACAAACAGCAACGGGCAGGAAGCUUUCUUAUGAAAAAGAAAAGGAAAAAAUGCCAGUUUUCACUGGGUGAAACGACUAUUUUCUGCAUACUAGUUUGAGACUGAGCCAAAGCUGUGAAAGCGGACUAUGAUUUUUGACCCUUCUCAUAACUACUUUCCCUCAUCUGUAGAGGUGAGUAAAAUCAUGCUAAGUACACUGCACUUCUAGGCUCUGAUGAGGAGAGUCAAACAAAACCUGUAUAUAGAAGUUUUAAUGCUGAUAUGGCUAAGAUUAACCUCGGAUUGAGCCUGAGGUUUGUAGUUGAGAUCAGCUACAGCUGCAACACCUGGACCAGAGUUUCACUGGAGUCAGGGGAUCAGAUUGCUUUGGCUUGGACCCCUACUCUACUGUGGACACUUUUUCAUUAGGCUAAUCCAUGGUCCCCCAGAUUGGCCCCAACAUCACCCCAAUUUUGUGCCAUGGUUGAUGAGGUGGUGUUGCAGAGCUGGAAAAUACCCUCAGAUCUCAAAAGAAAGAUGCAAAGUCCUGUAACCAAGUUAUGCUUAUUCCUACAUGCUCACACUCAUGGCAUAUCAGGAACUCAGGGCAGCCAAUUUUUCAAGCAGUGCUAAAACAUGUAUUUCACAUUGGUGAAAGGGAGGGACACCGAGCACUUAACCCUGCUCUUAGCCCUUCCCCCAGUUUUCUCUUUCUUGAGCCUGAAUUCAACUGGAAGCAUUAUUUUUAGAGCUGUUGAAUUUAACCCCAAACUCACCCACCCUUCCAGAAUCCUACUGUUGUGCCACAGUAAUGAUGUAAUACACAGUCAUCCCAUAACCAGGACUUGUACAGCACAAAGCCCAUUUGCACCCAUCAGAGUCUGCAAGGCAGCAUCAACCGAUGACUUAUCUUCUGGAGCACUGAAGGAAUUGAGUUCUGCCGAAGAAAUUAUUUAUGAAGAUUUUCCAAGUUGCUCAGAGCUUCAGAUGGAGGAGGUUGAAUAUGACUUCUUUAAUAAAACAGGCUGGGAUGUCAUGAAUGAGUUAAAAGGUCACAGGAAGGAAAUGUUGGGUUGGAUGCCAAAACUACUCUGGCAACAACUUCACACCAGGGGUUGGGCUCUUGUCCAUGACCAAGCAGCUCAUUGUUGGACAGUGCAAUUCUCCCAGGUGAGUGGAUGGCAACUGCAUGGGGAAGGUGGGAGCUGCCCGGCUGCUGCUGUGGGGUGCCCAGGGCUUGCCCAGCGGCUGAGCCCACUGGGGCCUCCAGCAGGUCACUCCCUGCUUGUAUGAGGUCAGUCAACUCCUGCCAUGGCAAUCUUAAUUACCGUUGACAGAAAGCAAUUGGAAAAAGGGAACCACAUUCUCAGUUGAAAACCAAACUCCCUUCCCAAGGUCUCCUCUUCUGAGGUCAGUAUUGCUCUGCUUUGACCUAUGUCCUAUAAGAACAUCCGUGCUCUUGCUGGAAGAGCAGAUUGCAGGAUGGACAACACAGUCAAUGUCUGGCUUUCAUCUCAUUCAC